This 400-nucleotide ribosomal RNA is filed under the name uncultured bacterium. RNAcentral describes it as "bacterial SSU rRNA". It matches the Rfam family "Bacterial small subunit ribosomal RNA", at positions 355 to 747 of the family's 1533-position model. The record is from RNAcentral.
UGGGGAAUUUUGCGCAAUGGACGAAAGUCUGACGCAGCAACGCCGCGUGGGUGAUGAAGGUCUUCGGAUCGUAAAACCCUGUCGUCAGGGACGAAGUGUUGGGGGCUAAUAUCCUUCAGCAUUGACGGUACCUGGAGAGGAAGCCCCGGCUAACUCUGUGCCAGCAGCCGCGGUAAUACAGAGGGGGCAAGCGUUAUUCGGAAUUAUUGGGCGUAAAGGGCGCGUAGGCGGUGAUUUAAGUGAGAUGUGUAAUCCCCGGGCUUAACCUGGGAACUGCAUCUCAUACUGGAUCGCUAGAGUGCUGGAGAGGGUGGUAGAAUUCCACGUGUAGCGGUGAAAUGCGUAGAGAUGUGGAGGAAUACCAGUGGCGAAGGCGGCCACCUGGACAGUAACUGACGCU